This 559-nucleotide ribosomal RNA is filed under the name uncultured Bacilli bacterium. RNAcentral's name for it is "bacterial SSU rRNA". It matches the Rfam family "Bacterial small subunit ribosomal RNA", at positions 160 to 706 of the family's 1533-position model. The record is from RNAcentral. Lineage: Bacteria; Bacillati; Bacillota; Bacilli.
GUGCUAAUACCGUAUAUCUCUAAGGAUCGCAUGAUUCUUAGAUGAAAGAUGGUUCUGCUAUCGCUUUUAGAUGGACCCGCGGCGUAUUAACUAGUUGGUGGGGUAACGGCCUACCAAGGUGAUGAUACGUAGCCGAACUGAGAGGUUGAUCGGCCACAUUGGGACUGAGACACGGCCCAAACUCCUACGGGAGGCAGCAGUAGGGAAUCUUCCACAAUGGACACAAGUCUGAUGGAGCAACGCCGCGUGAGUGAAGAAGGUCUUCGGAUCGUAAAACUCUGUUGUUAGAGAAGAACACGAGUGAGAGUAACUGUUCAUUCGAUGACGGUAUCUAACCAGCAAGUCACGGCUAACUACGUGCCAGCAGCCGCGGUAAUACGUAGGUGGCAAGCGUUGUCCGGAUUUAUUGGGCGUAAAGGGAACGCAGGCGGUCUUUUAAGUCUGAUGUGAAAGCCUUCGGCUUAACCGGAGUAGUGCAUUGGAAACUGGAAGACUUGAGUGCAGAAGAGGAGAGUGGAACUCCAUGUGUAGCGGUGAAAUGCGUAGAUAUAUGGAAGAA